Molecule: ribosomal RNA, 1152 nt
Filed under: Triticum aestivum (bread wheat)
Lineage: Eukaryota; Viridiplantae; Streptophyta; Magnoliopsida; Poales; Poaceae
Description: partial small subunit ribosomal RNA
Source: RNAcentral
AUGGCUAGCAACGAUGAAGGACAGGGUUCUGGUGAUUGCGACAACGUCUACCGGGCGGCAGACGAAUUUUUUAGCCUUACCGACGAUCAACCGAUGUUGUUGCUGGGCCCACCGGUGGCAUCGGGGACUGAGACCGACACGCAGACCGGUGCUGAGACUGAGACCGGCGCUGAGACUCAGACCGACAUCGAGACCGGCGCUGAGACUGAGACCGGUGCUGCCUCGCGGAGCGGAGCCGGUGUAGAACCCAAAGCAAAGAGGCAAUGGCUUCCUAACAAACUCAGGACUACUAGACUGGUGGUCACGGAGGUGGACGACGGCAAUUUUGAGCCAAAGGCGCCUGAUGAAGCGCGCGCGUGCUACGGCAAUCAAAUAGGCUGCAUCGUACGGACAACCACCACCAUCAACGAUGAGAAACUACAGAAGAUAGAAAAUAUGAGGAGCUCCCUCCUAAAGAAGUUUCACCAGAUAUUCUUGUUCCCGGGAUGGAAUGAGAAGGAUUAUGAAGAUCCAGACGAGGACCCGGCAAUGAAGAAGAUAAACAAACACGCCAUGACGAAGUUUAGCGACGCGUUGGCCACCUGGAAAACUCGAGUGAAAGCAAAGAUCAUCGACAAGAAGGAACCCUACUACGAGAUUGUAAAGGACAAUCCGACAAUCACAGAAGAGCAGUUUCAAAUAUUCAAGGAGGCUUGCGAGGCCGAAGCUACGAAAAAAAAGUCUAAGUACAUGAAGGGGCUUCAAGAGAGGAACAUUGGGAGCCACCACCUCAGAAGCUGUGGUUACGGCGGAAAGAGGUCCAAAUGGGCCAUGGAGGACGCGGAAGCCGCGAGUCUGGGCAUCCCAGACCCCUUGGCGGAUUUCACCGUCCCGCAGGAGCGUGACGUCCUGAGGGCCCGGCACCGUUGGAACCCAGUGAAGAAGGUUUCCGAGACAACACCGGUCAUUACAGAGUUCAUGAGACUGCUGAGAGAGCAGCACCGGAUUGCGGCAGAAAGCGACUCGCCGUCUGAGGCAUUGGCGAGGCCCAAGUGGGACACUCCAUUCAACCGGGCGUUGAACAUAUUGAAACGACAACCGAUGGAUACUCGACCAUCGUAUGGACGUGCACGGUGUCGGAGACAACGCCACGUGGAAGAAGUACUACCGUGA